ACUUUCGCAGCGAAAUUUGGUUUGAUUCAGUUUUACUGAAUUAAUUAAAAGGGAAUCUGGUUAAAAUCCAGAACUGUUCCCGCAACUGUAAGCUAUAAAGCUUCGUGUUAAACUUCAAUGUCACUGAAGAAUAUUCUUUGGGAAGACCAACACGAAGACGCAAGUCAGGAGACCUGCCAUUUUCAAAACAAAUAA
This 195-nucleotide non-coding RNA is filed under the name Flaviramulus basaltis. Lineage: Bacteria; Pseudomonadati; Bacteroidota; Flavobacteriia; Flavobacteriales; Flavobacteriaceae. The record is from RNAcentral.